RNAcentral lists this long non-coding RNA (229 nucleotides) under Solanum tuberosum (potato). RNAcentral's name for it is "long non-coding RNA (STUB_LNC004992)". The record is from RNAcentral. Lineage: Eukaryota; Viridiplantae; Streptophyta; Magnoliopsida; Solanales; Solanaceae.
UUGAACUGACAUACCACUUACACAAGAAGAAAACGAGAAUCUUUGGCAACAGAGUGCAGGUGAACCGAUUAGAGGUUCAAUCUAUGGCUUAACAUAAAAGGCGUAUAAGAAGAAGAAGUCUUGGUAUUGUGGUUCAUCAUCCUCAAGCUUCAAUGGUGGGGUUAGAGAGACAAUAUCUGUAAUGGAGGAUAAGAUAUCUUAUCUCAAUGCCGAGCUUCCUGCUGUAGCC